This 445-nucleotide ribosomal RNA is filed under the name uncultured bacterium. RNAcentral's name for it is "partial 16S ribosomal RNA". It matches the Rfam family "Bacterial small subunit ribosomal RNA", at positions 354 to 796 of the family's 1533-position model. The record is from RNAcentral.
GUGAGGAAUAUUGCGCAAUGGAGGCAACUCUGACGCAGCCAUGCCGCGUGCAGGAAGAAGGCGCUACGCGUUGUAAACUGCUUUUAACCGGGAAGAAACCCCAGGACGUGUCCUGGGUUGACGGUACCGGAGGAAUAAGCACCGGCUAACUUCGUGCCAGCAGCCGCGGGAAUACGAAGGGUGCAAGCGUUAUCCGGAUUCAUUGGGUUUAAAGGGUGCGUAGGCGGAGCGUUAAGUCAGUGGUGAAAUCCUGCAGCUUAACUGUAGACUUGCCAUUGAUACUGGCGCGCUUGAGUGCGCUUGAAGUGGGCGGAAUGUGCCGUGUAGCGGUGAAAUGCUUAGAUAUGGCACAGAACACCAAUUGCGAAGGCAGCUCACUAAGGCGAUACUGACGCUGAGGCACGAAAGCGUGGGGAUCGAACAGGAUUAGAUACCCUGGUAGUCC